UCAUUCACCAUUUACUGAAGUUGUGUGUGCGUGUCUAUACCAGACCCCAUGCUAAGGACUGGGGAAAAGGAUGAUCAUACCUGGCUUGUUCCUGAUAGAGCCCAGAGACCACCUGGGAAGACAAGUAAUCAGGUCCAGCUUCGGUGUGAGGCCCUCAAUCCAGAACAUCAUGGCUCUGACUCACCAGCCUUCAGCUGCUGCACUCUGCUCUCCUCAGUGGCUGCCUUGCACCUGGAACUCAAUUUUUUUUUUUUUUUUUUUUUUGAGAUGGAGUCUUGCUCCGUAACCCAGGCUGGAGUGCAAUGGCGCAAUCUCGGCUCACUGCAACUUCCACCUCCCGGGUUCAAGUGCUUCUCCUGCCUCAGCCUCCUGAGCUUGGAUUACAGUUGUCCACCACCAUGCCCAGCUAAUUUUUGUUUUUUUUUUUUUUUUUUUUUUUUAGUAGAGACAGGGUUUCACCAUGUUGGCCAGACUGGUCUUGAACUCCUGACCUCAGGUGAUCCGCCUGCCUUGGCCUCCCAAAGUGCUGGGAUUACAGGCAUGAGCCACCACACCCAGCCAAUUUUUAAAUUUUUUAAAUUUUUUGUAGAGACAGGGUCUUGCUAUGUUGCCCAGGCUGAUCCUCAAACUCCUGGCAUCAAGAGACACUCCUGACUCCACCUCCUAAAUGCUGGGAUUAGAGAUGUGAGCCAUUGUUCCUGGCCCCUAUUGAAUUUUUUAGUCCACUGUUGAGACCUAUUGAUCAGAAAAAAGGUUGCUUUCAAAAGGUUAUUACAAAAAAAAAAAAAAAAAAGAAGAAGAAGAAGAAGAGAGAAAAAAGAUUACAAAGAUUACUGCUCAUACUCAUUCACAAUGCAUUUAGUCACCCAAGAGCUCUAAUGGAGAUGUACAAGGAGAUGAAUGUUGUUUUCAUGCCUGCUAAUACACAUCCUUUCUGCAGCCCAUGGAUCAAGGAGUAAUUUAAACCUGCAAGUCUUAUUAUUUAAAAUUACAUUUCAUAAGGCUAUAGCUGCCAUAGAUAAGUGAUUCUGCUGAUGGAUUUGGGCAAAGUACAUUGAAAACCUUCUGGAAAGGAUUCACCAUUCUAGAUGCCAUUAAGAAUAUUUGUGGUUCCAGGGAGGAAGCCAAAAACCAACAUUUACAGGAGUUUGGAAGAAAGUGACUCUAUAACUCAUGGAUGACUUUCAGAGGGGCUCAAGACUUCACUAGAGGAAGUAACUGCAGAUAUGAUAGAAGUAGCAAGGGAACUAGAAUUAGAAAUGGAACCUGAAGAUGUGACUGAAUUGCUGCAAUCUCAUGAUAAAAUUUAAAUGGAUGCAGAGUUGCUUCUUAUGGAUGAGCAAAUAAGUGAUUUCUUCUUCUUUUCUUUUUUUUUUUUUUGAGGUGGAGUCUCGCUCUGUCACCCAGGCUUGAGUGCAGUGAUGUGAUCUCUGCUCACUGCAACCUUAACCUCUCAAGCUCAAGCGAUUCUCCUGCCUCAGCCUCCCAAGUAGCUGGGAUUACAGGUGUCCACCACCAUGACUGGCUAAUUUUUGUAUUUUUAGUGGAGACGGGGUUUCACCAUGCUGACCAGGCUGUUCUCGGACUCCUGACCUCAAGUGAUCCUCCUGGCUUGACCUCCCAAAGUGCUGGGAUUACAGGUGUGAGCCACCAUGCCCAGCCUCUUUUUUUUUUUUUUUUAAAUAGAGACAGAGUCUCACUGUGUUGCCCAGGCUGGCAAUCAUGGCUCACUGCAAACUUGACCUCCUAGACUCAAGCCAUCCUCCUGGUUCAACCUUCCAAGUAACUAGUACUACAUGUGUGCACCACCCUGCUCAGCUAAUUAAAAAUAAUUUUUGUGAGGAGAUGGGGGUCUCACUAUGUUGCCAAGGCUGGUUUAGAAUGCCCAAGCUCAAGUGAUUCUCUCACUCUGGACUCCCAAAGUUCUGGGAUUACAGGUGUGUGCCAUCGUGCCUAGCCAGAAAGUGGUUUCUUGAGAUGGAAUCUACUCCUGAUGAAGAUACUGUGAAAUGUAGAAUGGUAGAAAUGACAACAAAGGAUUUAGAAUAUGACAUAAACUUAGUUGAUAAAGCAGCAGCAGGGUUUGAGAGGACUGAGUCCAAUUUUGGAAGAUAUUCUACUAUGAGUAAAAUGCUAUCAAAUAGUACUGCAUACUAGAGAUAAAUCUUUCAUGAAAGGAAGUGUCAAUUCAUGUGGCAAAUGCUACAUUGUCUUAUUUUAAGAAAUUGUCACAGCUGGCAUGGUGGGGCAUGCCUGUAAUCUCAGCUACUCGGGAAGCUGAGGCAGGAGAAUCGCUUGAACCCAGGAGGCGGAGGUUGCAGUGAGACGAGAUCGUGUCAUUGUACUCCAGCCUGGGCAACAAGAGGGAGACUCGGUCUCAG
Molecule: long non-coding RNA, 2381 nt
Filed under: Pan troglodytes (chimpanzee)
Lineage: Eukaryota; Metazoa; Chordata; Mammalia; Primates; Hominidae
Description: lincRNA
Source: RNAcentral